AUUGAACGCUGGCGGCAUGCCUAACACAUGCAAGUCGAACGGCAGCACGGGAGCUUGCUCCUGGUGGCGAGUGGCGGACGGGUGAGUAAUGCAUAGGAAUCUGCCCAGUAGCGGGGGACAACUUGGGGAAACUCAAGCUAAUACCGCAUGCGCCCUACGGGGGAAAGGCGGGGGACCGUUCGGGCCGUCGCACUAUUGGAUGAGCCUAUGUCAGAUUAGCUUGUUGGUGGGGUAACGGGCCUACCAAGGCGACGAUCUGUAGCUGGUCUGAGAGGACGAUCAGCCACACUGGGACUGAGACACGGCCCAGACUCCUACGGGAGGCAGCAGUGGGGAAUAUUGCACAAUGGGCGAAAGCCUGAUCCAGCCAUGCCGCGUGUGUGAAGAAGGCC
This 392-nucleotide ribosomal RNA is filed under the name uncultured bacterium. Its description in RNAcentral is "bacterial SSU rRNA". It matches the Rfam family "Bacterial small subunit ribosomal RNA", at positions 29 to 416 of the family's 1533-position model. The record is from RNAcentral.